RNAcentral lists this small nuclear RNA (107 nucleotides) under Moschus moschiferus (Siberian musk deer). Lineage: Eukaryota; Metazoa; Chordata; Mammalia; Artiodactyla; Moschidae. The record is from RNAcentral.
AUCAGGCUCCCAAGAGACUGACAUAUACUAAAAUUGGAACGAUACAGAGAUUAACAUGGCUCCUGUGCAUGGAUGACACGCAAAUCUAUGAAGCGUUCCAUAUUUUU